CCAGAGCAGGGCCGGGGCAGAGCCUGACUGGCUCCCUGAAGCCUCCGGGGCGGCUUCGCCAGAACGCACUUCCGCGGCAGCGGAGGGAGACCAGGAGACGCUGCUCCGAGUGGGCGAUCGGGAUGCCCGGGCCGUGAGGAAUCGGUCCAGAUUAUCUCUGCUUUGUGUGCAGAUGUGCUCCUGUUUCGUCUGAGCUCGCUAAGCUGAUUUCGAAGGAUCAGGAAUCAGUGGCAUAGGACAGGCUGUUUGGAGAAACACUGAUUACUUUGAAAUUGUGAGUAUCUGUUCCCCAUCUCUGGAAACAAGAAUGAAAUU
Long non-coding RNA from Rattus rattus (black rat), 315 nucleotides. RefSeq lists it as uncharacterized. The record is from RefSeq and is a predicted model, not a curated record. The transcript has 3 exons. NCBI's taxonomy places the organism in Eukaryota, Metazoa, Chordata, Mammalia, Rodentia, Muridae.